UGAGGCCCAAUGCUGAUGUGCCUGAUGGA
Molecule: non-coding RNA, 29 nt
Filed under: Homo sapiens (human)
Lineage: Eukaryota; Metazoa; Chordata; Mammalia; Primates; Hominidae
Source: RNAcentral